Molecule: ribosomal RNA, 253 nt
Filed under: uncultured bacterium
Lineage: Bacteria
Description: partial 16S ribosomal RNA
Rfam family: Bacterial small subunit ribosomal RNA
Source: RNAcentral
UACGUAGGGUGCAAGCGUUGUCCGGAUUUAUUGGGCGUAAAGAGCUCGUAGGCGGUCUGUCGCGUCGGAUGUGAAAACCUGUGGCUUAACCACGGGCCUGCAUUCGAUACGGGCAGACUAGAGUUCGGUAGGGGAGACUGGAAUUCCUGGUGUAGCGGUGAAAUGCGCAGAUAUCAGGAGGAACACCGGUGGCGAAGGCGGGUCUCUGGGCCGAUACUGACGCUGAGGAGCGAAAGCGUGGGGAGCAAACAGG